AGUGAACGCUGGCGGUAGGCCUAACACAUGCAAGUCGAACGGCAGCACAGUAAGAGCUUGCUCUUACGGGUGGCGAGUGGCGGACGGGUGAGGAAUACAUCGGAAUCUACUUUUUCGUGGGGGAUAACGUAGGGAAACUUACGCUAAUACCGCAUACGACCUACGGGUGAGAGCAGGGGAUCUUCGGACCUUGCGCGAUUGAAUGAGCCGAUGUCGGAUUAGCUAGUUGGCGGGGUAAAGGCCCACCAAGGCGACGAUCCGUAGCUGGUCUGAGAGGAUGAUCAGCCACACUGGAACUGAGACACGGUCCAGACUCCUACGGGAGGCAGCAGUGGGGAAUAUUGGACAAUGGGCGCAAGCCUGAUACAGCCAUACCGCGUGGGUGAAGAAGGCCUUCGGGUUGUAAAGCCCUUUUGUUGGGAAAGAAAAGCAGCAGGUUAAUACCCCGCUGUUCUGACGGUACCCAAAGAAUAAGCACCGGCUAACUUCGUG
Molecule: ribosomal RNA, 492 nt
Filed under: uncultured bacterium
Lineage: Bacteria
Description: partial 16S ribosomal RNA
Rfam family: Bacterial small subunit ribosomal RNA
Source: RNAcentral